GGGCAUUGAGACCGUGAUUGUCAGAUGCCGGCUUGACUAUCUUAGCACGAUCCCGGUUGGUAGCUGUGUUCAUGGGCCUUCAUGGCCAGGGCAGUGUCGGUCCUUCCCUUGUAUGUGUCGGUCUUGUGUUCUUUGAUUCUUGUUCUUGUGUUCCUCUUGGUGCUGCCUGCGCAGGAUUGCUCGCAGUUUUCGGCCCUGUUAUAUAUUGGGAUUGUGUAUACUCCGACCUUUCUAUCUUCCGCUGUGGGAUCUUUAUCAUUCCGGAUUAGCUGGAAAAUUGUGGGACCUCUUUUUUUUAGCUAUUUUAAACUGUUUGUGUUUUAG
RNAcentral lists this long non-coding RNA (324 nucleotides) under Androctonus crassicauda. Lineage: Eukaryota; Metazoa; Arthropoda; Arachnida; Scorpiones; Buthidae. The record is from RNAcentral.